UACAGGGGGUGCAAGCGUUGUUCGGAAUUACUGGGCGUAAAGCGCGGGCAGGUGGCCUUUUAAGUCCUGUGUGAAAUCCCGGAGCUCAACUCCGGAUGUGCAUAGGAUACUGGAAGGCUAGGGACUGGUAGAGGCGAGCGGAAUUCCUGGUGUAGCGGUGGAAUGCGUAGAUAUUGGGAGGAACACCGGUGGCGAAGGCGGCCCCCUGGACCGGUACUGACGCUGAGGCGCGAAAGCGUGGGUAGCAAACGGG
RNAcentral lists this ribosomal RNA (253 nucleotides) under uncultured bacterium. Its description in RNAcentral is "partial 16S ribosomal RNA". It matches the Rfam family "Bacterial small subunit ribosomal RNA", at positions 524 to 776 of the family's 1533-position model. The record is from RNAcentral.